RNAcentral lists this transfer RNA (58 nucleotides) under Daphnia magna. It matches the Rfam family "tRNA", at positions 1 to 55 of the family's 71-position model. Rfam says of the family: Transfer RNA (tRNA) molecules are approximately 80 nucleotides in length. The record is from Rfam by way of RNAcentral. Lineage: Eukaryota; Metazoa; Arthropoda; Branchiopoda; Diplostraca; Daphniidae.
GCCUCUGUGGCGCAAUUGGCUAGCGCGUUCGGCUGUAGACCGGAAGGCUGGUGGUUCG